AUUUUAAUAGCUUAAUUGAGAGCAUAAUAUUGAAGAUAUUAAGGUGAUAUAAAUCUUAAAAUA
This 63-nucleotide transfer RNA is filed under the name Aquatica sp. q XF-2022. Its description in RNAcentral is "tRNA-Phe". Lineage: Eukaryota; Metazoa; Arthropoda; Insecta; Coleoptera; Lampyridae. The record is from RNAcentral.